This 678-nucleotide ribosomal RNA is filed under the name Tulostoma brumale. RNAcentral describes it as "eukaryotic LSU rRNA". The stretch from base 275 to 428 matches the Rfam family "5.8S ribosomal RNA". The record is from RNAcentral. Lineage: Eukaryota; Fungi; Basidiomycota; Agaricomycetes; Agaricales; Agaricaceae.
GUUACAAGGUUUCCGUAGGUGAACCUGCGGAAGGAUCAUUAUUGAAUAAACCUGAUGGGUUGUUGCUGGCUUCUCCGGAAGUAUGUGCACACCUGUCAUCUUUAUCCAUCCACCUGUGCACCCUUUGUAGUCUUGGAGAUAAUGAGCGCAAAGCGUCUUGGGGAUCACACUCCUUGAUGUUAGUGCAAGUUUCUCUUGGUCUAUGUCUUUCAUAUACCACGUCGAAUGUAAUAGAAAGUUUUUAUUGGGCCUCAGUGCCUAUAAAACACAAUACAACUUUCAGCAACGGAUCUCUUGGCUCUCGCAUCGAUGAAGAACGCAGCGAAAUGCGAUAAGUAAUGUGAAUUGCAGAAUUCAGUGAAUCAUCGAAUCUUUGAACGCACCUUGCGCUCCUUGGUAUUCCGAGGAGCAUGCCUGUUUGAGUGUCAUUUAAUUCUCAAUCCCCACUAGUUUUUUGUGACUGGCUUGGUGGAUUGGAUGUGGGGGUAUUGUUUGCGGGCCUCUUCAGAGGUCGGCUCCCCUAAAAAGCAUUAGCGGAACCGUUUGCGGACCCGUCACUGGUGUGAUAAUUAUCUACGCCAACGACAACUGCUCUCUGGUAGUUCUGCUUCUAACCGUCCUUUUACUUGGACAAUCAUAUAUUUGAAUGCUGACCUCAAAUCAGAGAGACCUCGUUUA